UGCUUACCAUGCAGUCGAGCGGUAAGGCCUUUCGGGGUACACGAGCGGCGAACGGGUGAGUAACACGUGGGUGAUCUGCCCUGCACUUCGGGAUAAGCCUGGGAAACUGGGUCUAAUACCGGAUAUGACCUCCUAUCGCAUGGUGGGUGGUGGAAAGAUUUAUCGGUGCAGGAUGGGCCCGCGGCCUAUCAGCUUGUUGGUGGGGUAAUGGCCUACCAAGGCGACGACGGGUAGCCGACCUGAGAGGGUGACCGGCCACACUGGGACUGAGACACGGCCCAGACUCCUACGGGAGGCAGCAGUGGGGAAUAUUGCACAAUGGGCGAAAGCCUGAUGCAGCGACGCCGCGUGAGGGAUGACGGCCUUCGGGUUGUAAACCUCUUUCAGCAGGGACGAAGCGCAAGUGACGGUACCUGCAGAAGAAGCACCGGCUAACUACGUGCCAGCAGCCGCGGUAAUACGUAGGGUGCAAGCGUUGUCCGGAAUUACUGGGCGUAAAGAGUUCGUAGGCGGUUUGUCGCGUCGUUUGUGAAAACCAGCAGCUCAACUGCUGGCUUGCAGGCGAUACGGGCAGACUUGAGUACUGCAGGGGAGACUGGAAUUCCUGGU
This 609-nucleotide ribosomal RNA is filed under the name Rhodococcus erythropolis. RNAcentral's name for it is "bacterial SSU rRNA". It matches the Rfam family "Bacterial small subunit ribosomal RNA", at positions 45 to 674 of the family's 1533-position model. The record is from RNAcentral. Lineage: Bacteria; Bacillati; Actinomycetota; Actinomycetes; Mycobacteriales; Nocardiaceae.